Armigeres subalbatus is the source of this 1180-nucleotide long non-coding RNA. RefSeq lists it as uncharacterized. The record is from RefSeq and is a predicted model, not a curated record. The transcript is spliced from 3 exons. NCBI's taxonomy places the organism in Eukaryota, Metazoa, Arthropoda, Insecta, Diptera, Culicidae.
UCGAGGCGAGUUUGUUUAAUGUUUUUAUCCUCCAUACAGUGUAAGCAGGUGCGGUCGACAAAUAUUAAUAUAUAUAAAUAGUUCCCAGUGAAGUUCUUGAUAUGAGCUUUUCGUUUGGAACUUCUGAAAAAUCAAAACCAGCAUCAGCAGCUGUCGGACAUCAACCUCGUAGGCGACGAUUGACGGAUGGCUAAAAGGUAAACUAGCUCCCGAACCAUCGGUGGGGUAUUGUCUCAGCUCUGCGAAUCGCUGAUCCUAGACAUUAUCGAAAGUUACCAGCUGCGGAAUCUAUUAAUCCACCAGAAACUGUCGCAGUUUUACCAGCUACGGAAUCAAUUAAUCCGCCAGCAACCGUCGCAGUUCUACAAUUCCGAGCUCCACGGAUGUCCCAAGAAUAUUACAGAUUCCCACACGACAGGCCCAAUUGCCCAACAGUAAACCAGUGGUCUUUUAACGAAUAAGAACAACAGGGUGUGCGGGUGCAAAGAUUUACGGCACCUAAGACGAAUGGAACCAAGACCGAUGGAAUCGCGCGGUCCGGUCUGGAAGGUCCAACCGGCCGUAAAAAAUCAUUCCCGGAUAACGUGAAGAUCUUUUCGAUGUUGGAUACAAUUUGAUUGCGGCCUAGUCUUGUUAUUCCCGGAAGUGGCCGACAAGAAGAACAGACGGCGCACAGCUCAAGACAGAGGAGAAAUGAAACGUGAGUCAGGUAGGCUGUUAUUGCUUUUUGGACCAAAAGCUGCUAUUCAAUGCUGAUGUUUCAAUAACAUCCGGAUCACAGAUUUGUCAACGGAUUGGUCUCGGUGUGGUCAGUCGCAACUGUUCCAUUUCCAUCAAUCUUUCCACCAUCUACAGUACCCUCAGCCAAGUCACCAGUUCCGGAAUUGCCUGCCAUCAAAAGUUCACCCAGUUGUGAUCCUGGGCUUGCUACAAUUGAUGUUUCAUCCACCUCACAGAUUAGAAGCUGAUAGGAAUGGAAUUGCUUCUAUCAGUUCUGACAUUGGGUGCCAUGAAUGAUGUUCCCUCGCUGCUAGUAAUGCAGCAAUAAUCAGGCAUCCGACAAUAUAAAGGCUGCAUACCUCCUGGCUGUCCUCGGCGGCAACGCCAGCCCAUCGAGUGCCGACAUCGAGAAGAUCCCGAGCUCGGUUGGUAUCGAGGCCGAUUCAACUCACGUCACCAA